GGGCAGUGCCCGAGCCCGGCACGCGCGGGCGCGUACGCCGAGGGCUGUGCGCCGGGGGCGAAACUUGUUGCCGGCGCUGGCGCUGCUCGGUGCGGAGCGGGCCGCGGCGGGUUCAGCACCGCGGACAGCACCGCCGCGACCGGCGCCGUUGGGGGCGGGCACGGAGCGGGCCGCUGUGUGCGGGGCCGAGGCGGCUGCCCGCGCCCACGGCGGCGGCGAAGGGCGAUCGCAGCGGCAACGCUGAACGCGCGUCGUUCGUGCACAAGGCUCCCCCUACAGAUACUGCUCUUCAGCUGCUGGCAUCGUGCCUGAGGGAGAGCAGUGGCACUGUCGUCUGCUCUUACACUUGGCAGAGGUGGCUGGAAAGAGGAAGGCACCUAUCUAUGUGCAGAAAGAAGAACAGAGUAACAAGUCUUCAACGAGUGUGUUGGAACUUGGGAGUCUUGGACUGGGGAGAAGAGCCAGAGAACUGGCCAGCCUUGGAAGGCCAGAGAACUGAAGGCAGCCUUGGAGCUAGUAGAGACAGGCUGUGGCUGGUCAAGGGUGAAAGAGCAGGAAAAACUUAAGAAGUGGAGAUGUUUGUGACGAUUAGAUGGAAUGUGAAAACAGAGGUGGGAAGAAUGACUUGAAUGAAGAAUGGAAAAGAAAAAAAAAAGAAGAAGGAGCAAGGGAGGCAAUCCAAAUUCAGAUGGGAUGCACAGAGAAAUAAAGUUGGGAAAAAAGAUGAGGGGAUGUUCACCUAGAUUAGAUGGGUUUGAUAAAGGAGAGUGGAAUUAGAAAUGGGAGCCUGUGAAAAGUAAUCCUGGAGACCUAUCUGCAAAGAAGAAACAUGAUAUGGUAUGAGAAUGUAGAAAGGGGAAGUACAGACAGCAGAGGUUAGGAGUAAAUAAAUACUGGGUCUUGCUCAGUGAAGAGGCCAGGAUUGAAAUGGCAGCCUUAGGAAUGAAAAACGGGACUCUUGAAUUGUGACUGGGGAGGAGAAGGAGGGGCGGGAUGCAAACAGACUCAAGGAACAGUACAGAAGUAGCUGUCUUUUGGUGUGAUAGACAAAGGUCAUAUGUAUGAGCGCAUGCAAUCUUCAAAAGCCAGACAAUAUGCCAGGAUACCUUGUAGUUCCUGUUCACUUGCCAGCAAAGAUAUCUCAAAUCUACUGGCAAAGCGUGACACCCCUUUUCUGGGUUUGUUUGUUUGAAGGAUGACAGUCUGAUAUGGCUGAUGGUCAGCCCUUUAGCUGAGAUGGUAGCUAUACAGGGAGAUGGCUGCUGUGCAUCUAGGUGUUCCAAUAUGUUACUCGUAUGAGAACGGAGGUGAAGCUAUGGGUAAAAUUCUAUGUUUUUUCUUUUGUUUUUUCUUUUUUUUUUUUUUUUUCCUGAUGUCUUGAAAAUCCUAACAAAUCGCAGACAUGAUGGGUUACCAAGUCAUACACUCAAAACUAGGAAAUGGUGAAAGUUUGGUCGUCCUCUUCGCAGGCAGAACUGGCAUGGUGAUAGGAUACUGCGUGUUGUACAGUGAAUGCUGGGUGUGUUGAGUGGCAUGUUGAAAGGUAGGGGAAGAAAUAAUGGAGAAAGAAAUUUUAGUUCUGACCUGAAGGCUAUUCCAGACUUUCUGCAUGAAGCUGAGCAAGAACUACCUAAUUUUCAGAGGGGGUUGUUACUUGUUGUGUUCCUCCUUUUCUGCUUGCUUGAUUCUAAUACCAUGGAUUGAGGCUUUCAGGAAUACUGAGAGUCAACAGUAGCAGCUAAUUUCAGUGAGUGAGUGAGAUUUUGAACAUGUAAAACACAGCGCUGAAUGCUUUGAACAAAGGAUAUGUUAACUGUCUUAAAUAGCUACUAAAAGUCGGUAUUUGUUUAUCUUAACUUUUUUGUGCCUCAGUUUUCUCUGUGUAAAAUGGAAGUGAUAUGAUUGCUUCCUCUCCAAGAGGUGUUUUCAAAAAAAACCCUAAUGAAUAUUUGUUAAGUAUCCAGGCCCCAUAGUAGCCUGGAAAACCCAUGAGGUGCUUGGAAAAGCCCAUGAUGAAAUUCAUAGUUUUGUCUUCAGAGCAGACUCUGAAUAAUGUGUAGCAAAUAAGUCCUGGAACUACUGAACAAUGGUGAAUAGCUGAUAAAAGAAGAAUAGUUCAUUAAGUACACGCUAUUCAUUAUGCUGAAUGAGUCAGAAUUUGUGUGGAAAAAUAGUAUGUAAUCAUGCAAUUAAAGACUGUGUCAUAAUCUGAACGUACAAAGGGGCCAAUUUAAGGUUAUUCAAGUAUGUUUCAUUCUGAUGUUUCUCCCCCUUGAUGGCUUAAACUAUACGGUCUUACUAAUGUGCUUUUAAAGUUGUUUGUUCUGUGUUCGUUUCCAGUAUAUGAAGAUAAUAUGCAGCUAUCAGGAUCACAGUUGGAAUUGGUGUCUUGGCCAGUUUCAAUUGCAUAAAUCAGUUUCAUUCCCAUCCAAACAUUUGAGACCAUCAAAACUGUUUAGUCUAAAAAUCUUACAUAAAUGUUUUACAAGAUAAAUGUCAUUUCUGUCUUAUGUAAACUAUUUGCAUCUCUGGAUUUCCCUGUUAUUUGAGAAUCUCUCAUGUUUUCUUAUUUAUUUCAGAAGUUUGUUGUUAUGCUGGAUUACCAGAGCAUUCUGCAGCGUAUUUUUAUAGUUUGUAGAUGGGAGGAGUUUUCUUGGCCAGGUCAUUCGUUUCCCUUUUGAACAGAAGGGAUAUAGUGGCAUCAUCCAGCCUCUGAAACCAUUCUUCAGAUCCCUCUCUUAGCAUUAUGGAGUAGCAUCACUGCUGUUUCAGAAAUGUUAUCCUGUAAGUCUCAGAGACAGGAAACAAUUGAGUUUCUAGGUAGACUCUCACGUGAAGGACAGCUGAGAAGUCCAAGUUUGACAUUAAUUGUUAGUGUCCCGAAUAGUGUGACUUGCUGGGUUUUGUUUUAUUGUUAACUCUGAGAGUUCUGAGCAUAGAAAUAAAUAACCCAUGUUUUCAUAUCAAGUGGUAAUAAUAGAGAGGCACUGUGACACUCAGAUACGACACAAAAUUCAGAAGUUAUUGUUGUUUGUAAUUACCGUCACUAUUGUUCCUCUCCCCAGCUACAGUUUGGAGAAUUAAACACACUCUUCAAAAUAGAAACUGCAUAAUUUGUCUAGAAUUUGGAGGAUAUAGUAGCCAACCAAGAAAUGUAUCUUUUCUAUGGAAUUUCAUCUUAACUGAUAGAAUGUCAAAUUAUCAAAGUUGACUCUGUUUAUUUUGUGACAAGUAAUACUGCUGCUUCAAGUAGGAGCUAGAAUCUUGUGUACAGCUUUAGAAGCUCUCUCAUUGCUAGGGAAAAUACUUACCACUGAUGUUCUUGCAAGAGCAAAAAUUUUCGUGUAUAACGUUCCAUCCUGUUUGGAUACAGAAUAAUAUUAAAUGGGGCCAAGCAGCUAUUUGGAAGUCCUCAUAAAUGAUAUUUAGAAUUAUGUAAGAGAAGAAAACUAAUUCUUUGCUGUAUCUUUCACUUCACCUCGCUACUGUAAGAAUUUUGCACUAUUGUUUUCUGUCAUAAGCAGUGAUGCCACUAAUUAGCUGGACUUUGCUGGAAACUGACUAUUCAACAUUCCUGUGUCAAGAAAUACAGUUAUUCCCAUUCUUCCUUACUGUUCCUUAAUUUUUAGAGUCAUUUUACUUCCUUCUUCCUCCUUCCUCAUCUCCUUUUAGUGCUUUUUGCAAACCUGUGUGAUUGAUCAUUAACUGUUUAAUCUGUUAAAGACCAAACUGUGUCUAGCUGUCUAAAUCUUGUCUGCUGUUUU
RNAcentral lists this long non-coding RNA (3764 nucleotides) under Pavo cristatus (Indian peafowl). Its description in RNAcentral is "lncRNA (ENSPSTG00000014443.1)". The record is from RNAcentral. Lineage: Eukaryota; Metazoa; Chordata; Aves; Galliformes; Phasianidae.